This 425-nucleotide ribosomal RNA is filed under the name uncultured prokaryote. Its description in RNAcentral is "bacterial SSU rRNA". It matches the Rfam family "Bacterial small subunit ribosomal RNA", at positions 355 to 796 of the family's 1533-position model. The record is from RNAcentral.
UGGGGAAUAUUGGACAAUGGGGGCAACCCUGAUCCAGCCAUGCCGCGUGGGUGAAGAAGGCCUUAGGGUUGUAAAACCCUUUCAGCGGGGAAGAUGAUGACGGUACCCGCAGAAGAAGCCCCGGCUAACUCCGUGCCAGCAGCCGCGGUAAGACGUAGGGACCGAGCGUUGUCCGGAAUUAUUGGGCGUAAAGAGCUCGUAGGCGGUUGCGUAAGUCGGAUGUGAAAGCUCAGGGCUCAACCCUGAGACGCCAUCCGAUACUGCGCUGACUUGAAUCCAGUAGGGGAGUGUGGAAUUCCUGGUGUAGCGGUGAAAUGCGCAGAUAUCAGGAGGAACACCUAUGGCGAAGGCAGCACUCUGGGCUGGUAUUGACGCUGAGGAGCGAAAGCAUGGGUAGCAAACAGGAUUAGAUACCCCUGUAGUCC